UCAAGAAACUUCCACAAUGGGCGGAAGCCUGACCCAGCAACGCCGCGUGAAGGAUGAAGUAUUUCGGUAUGUAAACUUCGAAAGAAUAGGAAGAAUAAAUGACGGUACUAUUUAUAAGGUCCGGCUAACUACGUGCCAGCAGCCGCGGUAAUACGUAGGGACCAAGCGUUGUUCGGAUUUACUGGGCGUAAAGGGCGCGUAGGCGGUGUGUCAAGUCAGUUGUGAAAUCUCCGAGCUUAACUCGGAACGGUCAACUGAUACUGUCACACUAGAGUACAGAAGGGGCAAUCGGAAUUCUUGGUGUAGCGGUGAAAUGCGUAGAUAUCAAGAGGAACACCUGAGGCGAAGGCGGGUUGCUGGGCUGAUACUGACGCUGAGGCGCGAAAGCUAGGGUAGCAAACGGGAUUAGAUACCCUCGUAGUCCCUGAGCGGGCUGGCAAGGCGCAU
This 447-nucleotide ribosomal RNA is filed under the name uncultured bacterium. RNAcentral's name for it is "bacterial SSU rRNA". It matches the Rfam family "Bacterial small subunit ribosomal RNA", at positions 355 to 825 of the family's 1533-position model. The record is from RNAcentral.